This is a long non-coding RNA of Alligator sinensis (Chinese alligator), 1434 nucleotides long. RefSeq lists it as uncharacterized. Lineage: Eukaryota; Metazoa; Chordata; Crocodylia; Alligatoridae. The record is from RefSeq and is a predicted model, not a curated record. The transcript has 3 exons.
CAAAUGUAUCGUUCAGACGUGUAAAGAGCUCUCGAGUUACUGGCAAAGCUUAAUCUUAAAACUGUUGUAAGUAAAGCAUUCAUUUGUUACACCACUUCUUUAAUUGUUUUCCGUCAACGGGAAGAAAGAUAAGGGAAGGGGAAGCAAGGUCCCGCAGCCCUUUCGUCCCCGGCCUGUUCGCGCAGCACCUCUCGGGGUCCAACCACCCUCUGUCAGGUUACCUCCAGCUCACCAGGGCUACACCAGUUUGUGCAGGAAAGCAGUCUGCCUCACCGGUGAUAGGGUGGAGCAGUACCUCGAGUGACCAGAAUCAGACAGACUUCCUGCCGGGGUAGAUUCCUCCCCAGAAAUAAGGAAGUGGCAAUGCGGGGCACCAGUGGCACCGAAUAACGCAGCAGCUGGAAAGAUGUAUUCCAUCCACAGCGGCACUCCUUCCGUCACGCUCACUUCCGCCUGUGCCGCCGGUAAGUUUUCCCCAGGUUCUCCUCCUGUGAAGGAGGCACUGGGAGCCUCUUCACAGUCCCUUCCUGCCGGACUCCUACGACUACAUCCUGACAGCACUGAAGUCGGUCGCAGGAGCCGGCAGCCCCAAGCACAGGCAGCAGCAGAACUGCUACCUCUGUACUGCAAUGAGCUGUAUCUACCUUCCAGUCUGUAACAAAAUGCUCCUUGUUCCAUGGGAAAGGCCUGAAGUUAUCAAGUACUCAGCCACUUCUCUCAUGCAAAAAGCGAUGGUGUCCAUGUAUGGCUCUUUAUGUGAGUGCAUUUAUCAUUGAUUCGUAGAAAAUGAGUGUUGGAAGAGACCUGAGGAGGUCACAUCUAGUUCAACCCCCUGCUCAGAGCAGGACCAGCCCCAACCAUUUCAUUGCUGAACAGGCUUUGUCUAGCCAGGUCUUGAAAACCUCCAAGGAUGGAGCUUCCACCACCUCCCUGGGCAGCCUCUUCCAGUGCUUCACUGCCAUCAUAAUGAGACAGUUUGUCUUACUAUGCAACCUCAACUCCCCUUGCUGCAACUUGAGCUCAUUGCUCCUUGUUCUGUCAUGUGUCACCACUGAGGACAGUCCAGCUCCACCCUCUUUGGGACCACCCUGCAGGGAGCUGAAGGCUGCUGUUCAAUCCUCCCUCAGUCUUCGUCUCUUCUCCAGACUAAAUAAGCCCAGUGCCCCCAGCCUCUCCUCACACAUCAUGUGCUCCAGCCCCUGAAACAUUUUUGCUGCCCGUGACUGGACUCUUGUCCAAUGUGUGUGUGGCAGAAAGCCACCUUUGAUUCUCCCCCAAAAACUCUGCUCUCUGACAAUUUGAGUAGGAUGGGCCUAGCAGAGGAGACACACCUUUACCCUAUCUCUUUAGGUAACCUGAGCUGGAUACAUUCCUGAGGGAGGGGGAAAACCUGCUCCCUCUGCCUACGUGACUGGCAUCACAUACCUGGGUGAG